RNAcentral lists this ribosomal RNA (492 nucleotides) under uncultured bacterium. RNAcentral's name for it is "partial 16S ribosomal RNA". It matches the Rfam family "Bacterial small subunit ribosomal RNA", at positions 29 to 507 of the family's 1533-position model. The record is from RNAcentral.
AGUGAACGCUGGCGGUAGGCCUAACACAUGCAAGUCGAACGGCAGCACAGUAAGAGCUUGCUCUUACGGGUGGCGAGUGGCGGACGGGUGAGGAAUACAUCGGAAUCUACUUUUUCGUGGGGGAUAACGUAGGGAAACUUACGCUAAUACCGCAUACGACCUACGGGUGAAAGCAGGGGAUCUUCGGACCUUGCGCGAUUGAAUGAGCCGAUGUCGGAUUAGCUAGUUGGCGGGGUAAAGGCCCACCAAGGCGACGAUCCGUAGCUGGCCUGAGAGGAUGAUCAGCCACACUGGAACUGAGACACGGUCCAGACUCCUACGGGAGGCAGCAGUGGGGAAUAUUGGACAAUGGGCGCAAGCCUGAUCCAGCCAUACCGCGUGGGUGAAGAAGGCCUUCGGGUUGUAAAGCCCUUUUGUUGGGAAAGAAAAGCAGCAGGUUAAAACCCCGCUGUUCUGACGGUACCCAAAGAUUAAGCACCGGCUAACUUCGUG